RNAcentral lists this ribosomal RNA (403 nucleotides) under uncultured bacterium. RNAcentral's name for it is "partial 16S ribosomal RNA". It matches the Rfam family "Bacterial small subunit ribosomal RNA", at positions 30 to 526 of the family's 1533-position model. The record is from RNAcentral.
AUCGAACGCUGGCGGCAGGCCUAACACAUGCAAGUCGAGCAAGCGGCGGACGGGUGAGUAAUGUAUGGGGACUGCCCGAUAGAGGGGGAUAACUACUGGAACCGGUAGCUAAUACAGCAUACUAUCGGAUAACCCAUAUGGGAGUAGCUCGUAGGUGAGGUAAUGGCUCACUUAGGCGACGAUCCCUAGCUGGUCUGAGAGGAUGAUAAGCCAAACGGGGACUGAGACACGGCCCAGACUCCUAGGGAGGCAGCAGUGGGGAAUAUUGCACAAGGGGCGCAAGCCUGAUGCAGCCAUGCCGCGUGUAUGAAGAAGGCCCUAGGGUUGUAAAGUACUUUCAGUCGGGAGGCGUUACCGACAGAAGAAGCACCGGCUAACUCCGUGCCAGCAGCCGCGGUAAUUC